This 69-nucleotide microRNA precursor is filed under the name Mesocricetus auratus (golden hamster). RNAcentral describes it as "miRNA (ENSMAUG00000003959.1)". The record is from RNAcentral. Lineage: Eukaryota; Metazoa; Chordata; Mammalia; Rodentia; Cricetidae.
CCAUGUGGGGGAGUUGAGGACUUGGGAGCAUGGAUGAUUGCUUACCUGGUCUCUGACCUGGAUCCUCAG